CCUACGGGAGGCAGCAGUGAGGAAUAUUGGUCAAUGGGCGCUAGCCUGAACCAGCCAAGUAGCGUGCAGGAUGACGGCCCUAUGGGUUGUAAACUUCUUUUAUAUAAGAAUAAAGUUCAGUAUGUAUACUGCUUUGCAUGUACCUUAUGAAUAAGGAUCGGCUAACUCCGUGCCAGCAGCCGCGGUAAUACGGAGGAUCCGAGCGUUAUCCGGAUUUAUUGGGUUUAAAGGGAGCGUAGGCGGGUUGUUAAGUAAGUGGUGAAAGUUUGCGGCUCAACCGUAAAAUUGCAGUUGAUACUGGCGUUCUUGAGAGCAGUAGAGGUAGGCGGAAUGCGUGGUGUAGCGGUGAAAUGCUUAGAUAUCACGAAGAACUCCGAUUGCGAAGGCAGCCUGCUGGACUGUAACUGACGCUGAUGCUCGAAAGUGUGGGUAUCAAACAGGAUUAGAUACCCGGGUAGUC
RNAcentral lists this ribosomal RNA (460 nucleotides) under uncultured bacterium. RNAcentral describes it as "partial 16S ribosomal RNA". It matches the Rfam family "Bacterial small subunit ribosomal RNA", at positions 338 to 795 of the family's 1533-position model. The record is from RNAcentral.